Long non-coding RNA from Syngnathus typhle (broad-nosed pipefish), 1550 nucleotides. RefSeq lists it as uncharacterized. The record is from RefSeq and is a predicted model, not a curated record. NCBI's taxonomy places the organism in Eukaryota, Metazoa, Chordata, Actinopteri, Syngnathiformes, Syngnathidae. The transcript has 4 exons.
AGAGAAUUUCUUGACCCUAUCAGCCAAAGUUUGGAAGAUAAUUAACUAAAUGCUGACAACAGGCUUCCUAACAGUGACUGCAAUAGAUCAGAGGUCAGAACAAGAACCUGAAGACAACCUGGAGAGAUAAAAAAUCUAAUCGCGUGAUAAUUCGAGGAGGUCCAUAUUGUGUCUCCAACAAUCACUCAAAAAAAAAAAUACAAAGAUUCUCUUGGUACAGGUGCACUCGGCAGGACUACUUGGGGUCAUGGUCCUCCAUGUUCGGCUGUGAGUACACAAGGAAACCCUUCAAGAUUGUUUGUUAUUAAGAUCAUCUCCAUAAAUUCCUAUUGACUCAGUGACAAGUUUUGUGUUUAUUUUGUAAAACAAACAUGGAGAAGCUCCCGCAGAAAGAACAUAUGUAUUUUGGAUGAGCUGAGAAGGAUGUCAAAAGUUGAAGCUAACAGAGCCUCAGCUUCAGGCUACUAAUAAAGUUGGAGUCCCGGCUCCAAAGGUCCUCAGUCGAUGAAAGCACAAACAAUAACUUGGCCACAAAGACGAGCGAUGGGAAGCGAGCAGAAAACUUCCAAGGAAGUCUAUUUUGCCAUACUGCCAGAUAAAUAUGAACCUUUGAUCGAGGAUGAAGGAAGCCAGGAGACGCCAGAAGAAAGGUUGAGAAGGAAGGAGAAGAGGAAGAGGAGAAGGAAGAAGUACAUUAAGAAUGUCAAGAAGGCGUGCAGCUUCAGCUGGCGCUGCCUGGUGUAUGGCCUGCAGAGCCUAGCCGCCUCGUUCUCCACGCCGCUGUCAGUUGCCGUCGUGGUGAUGGAGCAUCGAACGAGAAGUGACCAGUGAAUGGAGCCUCACUUCCAUUCUUCCGGUCAAAUGUUUGGAAUGUAAAAUCCUACAUCACUGCAAUCUUGUUGUUGUUGUUGUUUUGUGAGUGUAAAGAGAUUGAUAGAUGUUGUUUUACACGAUAUUUGUUCCUGGAUUGUAUCAAAUAAAAUGUGUGUGUAAACCUUUAACUAAUUGACCAAUCAGUAGGCUAGAGCAGAUCAAGCAAAUACUUUUAAAGAACCUGUAAAGUGAAUUCCAAGAUGAAGUCUGAGAAGGUGAAAAGACCGAGAACUAGUCAUUCUUGGAGCUAUAACGUUAAACUGUUUGUCAUCAUUGUAGUUUUCCAGGGCACAUUUCUACCAUGACAGCGUGCACGUAGCUAGUGUUGUGAAUUUUUAUUCUGGUAUUAUGCAAUGUAUAUCUCACUAGUAAGUGUGACCGGGUCAUGUUCGAGUCAGGUUCGUGCGGGACUGUUUGGGGCUUGGUCCAGGAAUGUAGGCUCAAUAGCACCAGACACAUCUGGUUUCCAUUAACAACUGCUAAGAUAUGCACCGUGUAGAGUUAGGGAGGCUGACUGAGUUAGGGGGGUCAUAGAUCAUCCAAAAGCCCCGUGUGCACGCACCUGAGUGAAAGGAAGUACAGGUUUUAGGGCGAGAGUAGACAAGGGACUCGACAUCUUGGCAAGGACGCGAGACACUUCUCUCUGACAUUGGUUGAAUAAAAUCUUUCCCCAAUGA